AGAAUUCAAAUGAAGUAAUCAAAACACAAUGAUCAAAUGUGAAUGAAAUCAUCAUCAACCAAUGUAAAACAGAAGAGAAAUGAAGAUUAGAAGUCAACAAAGUCAAACAUAUUUUUUUGGUAUUUUUGGAAUUAAAAUAAAUGCAAAAUUUAAAUGGACAAAAUAUGGUCAAACUUCAAAUUCAAUUCAAAUCAACUUCAAC
Molecule: long non-coding RNA, 202 nt
Filed under: Lathyrus oleraceus (garden pea)
Lineage: Eukaryota; Viridiplantae; Streptophyta; Magnoliopsida; Fabales; Fabaceae
Description: Pisum sativum (pea) long non-coding RNA (PSAT_LNC022144)
Source: RNAcentral